RNAcentral lists this ribosomal RNA (2901 nucleotides) under Clostridium perfringens. RNAcentral's name for it is "23S ribosomal RNA". It matches the Rfam family "Bacterial large subunit ribosomal RNA". Lineage: Bacteria; Bacillati; Bacillota; Clostridia; Eubacteriales; Clostridiaceae. The record is from RNAcentral.
UCAAGCUACAAAGGGCGCAUGGUGAAUGCCUUGGCAUCAGGAGCCGAUGAAGGACGUGAUAAGCUGCGAUAAGCUUCGGGUAGGCGCACAUAGCCUGAGAUCCGAAGAUUUCCGAAUGAGGAAACUCACAUGGGAAACCCCAUGUAUCAUUAAGUGAAUACAUAGCUUAAUGAAGGUAACCCAGGGAACUGAAACAUCUAAGUACCUGGAGGAAGAGAAAGAAAAAUCGAUUUUCUUAGUAGCGGCGAGCGAAAGGGAAAGAGCCCAAACCGGAAACUUGUUUCCGGGGUUGUGGACAUAACAUAAAAGUGGAGGCUAUUGUAACUGAAGAGAACUGGAAAGUUCCACCGUAGAAGGUAAUAGUCCUGUAAGUGAAACGAGAAGACCACGAGUUAUGAUCCAGAGUACCACGAGACACGUGAAACCUUGUGGGAAGCAGGGAGGACCACCUCCCAAGGCUAAAUACUACCUGAUGACCGAUAGUGAAGCAGUACCGUGAGGGAAAGGUGAAAAGAACCCCGGGAGGGGAGUGAAAUAGAACCUGAAACCGUGUGCCUACAACCGCUCAGAGCCCCUUAUGAGGGUGAUGAGGUGCUUUUUGUAGAACGAGCCAACGAGUUACGGUAUGUAGCAAGGUUAAGUACUUAAGGUACGGAGCCGAAGGGAAACCGAGUCUGAAUAGGGCGACUAGUUGCAUGCCGUAGACCCGAAACCGGGUGACCUAUCCAUGGCCAGGUUGAAGCGAGGGUAAAACCUCGUGGAGGACCGAACCACGUUGCUGUUGAAAAAGCAUGGGAUGAGCUGUGGAUAGCGGAGAAAUUCCAAUCGAACCCGGAGAUAGCUGGUUCUCUCCGAAAUAGCUUUAGGGCUAGCGUCGAGUAUGAGUAGUGGAGGUAGAGCACUGAAUGGGCUAGGGGGCAUAGCGCUUACCGAACCUUAUCAAACUCCGAAUGCCACAUACUUUGAGCUCGGCAGUCAGACUACGAAUGAUAAGAUCCGUGGUCAAAAGGGAAACAGCCCAGAUCGUCAGCUAAGGUCCCAAAGUGUAAGUUAAGUGGGAAAGGAUGUGAGAUUUCUAAGACAACUAGGAUGUUGGCUUAGAAGCAGCCAUUCAUUAAAAGAGUGCGUAAUAGCUCACUAGUCGAGAGAUCUUGCGCCGAAAAUGUAACGGGGCUAAACUUACCACCGAAGCUACGGGCUUGAACUUAGUUCAAGCGGUAGGAGAGCGUCGUAACCGGGCUGAAGUCGUACCGUAAGGAGCGGUGGACUGGUUACGAGUGAGAAUGUUGGCAUCAGUAGCGAGAUGUGGGUGAGAAUCCCACAGGCCGAAAACCUAAGGUUUCCUCAGGAAGGUUCGUCCGCUGAGGGUUAGUCGGGACCUAAGCCGAGGCCGAAAGGCGUAGGUGAUGGACAACUGGUUGAUAUUCCAGUACCACUACCAUCGUUAUUAUCGAUGGCGUGACGCAGGAGGAUAGUGUGUGCUAGCUAUUGGAUGCUAGUCUAAGCGUUUAGGCAGUGAGAGUAGGCAAAUCCGCUCUCAUAAUGCUGAGGCGUGAUGGGGAAGGUUCUACGGAACCGAAGUACAUGAUUCCACGCUGCCAAGAAAAGCGUCUAGAGAGAGAAGUAGUGCCCGUACCGCAAACCGACACAGGUAGGUGAGGAGAGAAUCCUAAGGCCGGCGGAAGAAUUACAGUUAAGGAACUCGGCAAAUUGACCCCGUAAGUUCGCGAGAAGGGGUGCCUACGAGAGUAGGCCGCAGAGAAUAGGCCCAAGCAACUGUUUAGCAAAAACACAGGUCUCUGCUAAAGCGUAAGCUGAUGUAUAGGGGCUGACGCCUGCCCGGUGCUGGAAGGUUAAGGGGAACACUUAGCGCAAGCGAAGGUGUGAACUUAAGCCCCAGUAAACGGCGGCCGUAACUAUAACGGUCCUAAGGUAGCGAAAUUCCUUGUCAGGUAAGUUCUGACCCGCACGAAUGGCGUAAUGACUUGGGCACUGUCUCAACUGUAAAUCCGGCGAAGUUGUAGUGCGAGUGAAGAUGCUCGCUACCCGCGAUUGGACGGAAAGACCCCGUAGAGCUUUACUGUAGCUUAGCAUUGAGUUUUGGUAUUGUCUGUACAGGAUAGGUGGGAGACUAGGAAACCAGGGCGUCAGCCUUGGUGGAGUCAACCUUGGGAUACCACCCUGACAGUACUGAAAUUCUAACUGGCGGCCAUGAAUCUGGUCACAGGACAUUGUUAGGUGGGCAGUUUGACUGGGGCGGUCGCCUCCUAAAAAGUAACGGAGGCGCCCAAAGGUUCCCUCAGAACGGUCGGAAAUCGUUCGAAGAGUGCAAAGGCAGAAGGGAGCCUGACUGCGACACCCACAAGUGGAGCAGGGACGAAAGUCGGGCUUAGUGAUCCGGUGGUACCUCGUGGGAGGGCCAUCGCUCAACGGAUAAAAGCUACCUCGGGGAUAACAGGCUGAUCUCCCCCAAGAGUCCACAUCGACGGGGAGGUUUGGCACCUCGAUGUCGGCUCGUCGCAUCCUGGGGCUGAAGUAGGUCCCAAGGGUUGGGCUGUUCGCCCAUUAAAGCGGCACGCGAGCUGGGUUCAGAACGUCGUGAGACAGUUCGGUCCCUAUCCGUCGCGGGCGUAGGAAAUUUGAGAGGAGCUGUCCUUAGUACGAGAGGACCGGGAUGGACUGACCUCUGGUGUACCAGUUGUUCCGCCAGGAGCACAGCUGGGUAGCUAAGUCGGGAAUGGAUAAACGCUGAAAGCAUCUAAGCGUGAAGCCAACCUCAAGAUGAGAUUUCCCAUAGCGUAAGCUAGUAAGAUCCCUUGAAGAACACAAGGUUGAUAGGUCGGGGGUGUAAGCAUGGUAACAUGUUCAGCUGACCGAUACUAAUAGAUCGAGGGCUUGACC